ACCAGAAGCACUCGAAGAUUCCCAAUAGAAUUUACAAUCAUGUAUCCAUCUCCAUUGUUCUUCCCUCAGGAUCUCAUCACCGAGGUGUUAUCUGUUCUUAAUGUUAAAUCUAUUUUGCGAUUCAGGUGCGUUAGCAAAUUCUGGGACGCUCUGAUUUCAGAUCCCACCUUUGUGAAAUUGCAUCUCAAAAGAUCAGCAAAGCGAAAUGCCCAAUUCAUUUUAAUUACCGGUCAUUCAAAACAUAUCCGAGGCGAGUCACCAUAUGGAAGUGAUGAUGAAUGCGAGCAUGAGUGGGGUGUCAUUCCCUAUUCCAUUAGCAGUUUGGUUGACAAUCCGUCCUUCAACCUUUCUGUCGACUCUUAUCAGCUGGUAGAAGACAAAGGAUGCUCUCGUAUAGUUGGUUCUUGCAAUGGAUUGAUCUGUUUAGCUGGCGACUACUUGAUCCGUGAGUAUAAAGACCACUGGCUUCGAUUGUGGAACCCAGCCACUAGGACAACAUCCCCAAAAUUUGGGUGUGUUCGCGAAUUUCGCAAUCCACUAGAUAUUUUCGCCUAUGAUCGCCGUUAUAAAUACACAUUUGGCUGGGAUGAAUCUACCGACACUUACAAGGUAGUUGCCUCAGAAUUCAAGGAACCUGAAAUGAGAAGCAAUGUGAGAAUUCUGAGUUUGGCUGAUAAUGUUUGGAGAAAAAUUGAAAGUUUCCCAGUUGAACCCAUGGGUUCAGACUUAUCUAUGGACAGCGGUUAUAAUGUCAAGAAUACCCAGAUAUUAUUUAUAAUUGGAGAAAUAAUAAUGUAGUGCGAACAAACAUUAAUGUAAGGAAAACAGUUACUGAUGGCCAAACGUACGAUUCUGUCUCAUGCUCUGCCAAUGGCUAUUUUGAAAGCUUAGUUUCAGGAGUUGUCGGGGGAAUUCAGAGCUUCGAGAACAAGAGUUAAGGCAGUGUCGGGGGAGAAAGAAUUCAGAAGAAAAUGGUUUGAGUUAGAUAAGAGUUUUGUAUCUGGGCCUGAAAAAUUUGACCUGUUUUGACAUCAAGUGCA
Molecule: RNA transcript, 1040 nt
Organism: Vicia villosa (hairy vetch)
Lineage: Eukaryota; Viridiplantae; Streptophyta; Magnoliopsida; Fabales; Fabaceae
Gene name: F-box/kelch-repeat protein At3g23880-like
Exons: 3
Source: RefSeq, a predicted model, not a curated record